GCCGUUGUAGCUCAGUCGGUAGAGCACGUCAUUGGUAAUGACGAGGUCGGCAGUUCAAUCCUGCCCAACGGCU
RNAcentral lists this transfer RNA (73 nucleotides) under Candidatus Vogelbacteria bacterium. Its description in RNAcentral is "tRNA-Thr". It matches the Rfam family "tRNA". From Rfam's summary of the family: Transfer RNA (tRNA) molecules are approximately 80 nucleotides in length. Their secondary structure includes four short double-helical elements and three loops (D, anti-codon, and T loops). Further hydrogen bonds mediate the characteristic L-shaped molecular structure. tRNAs have two regions of fundamental functional importance: the anti-codon, which is responsible for specific mRNA codon recognition, and the 3' end, to which the tRNAs corresponding amino acid is attached (by aminoacyl-tRNA synthetases). tRNAs cope with the degeneracy of the genetic code in two manners: having more than one tRNA (with a specific anti-codon) for a particular amino acid; and 'wobble' base-pairing, i.e. permitting non-standard base-pairing at the 3rd anti-codon position. Lineage: Bacteria; Candidatus Vogeliibacteriota. The record is from RNAcentral.